This 466-nucleotide ribosomal RNA is filed under the name uncultured bacterium. RNAcentral's name for it is "partial 16S ribosomal RNA". It matches the Rfam family "Bacterial small subunit ribosomal RNA", at positions 28 to 507 of the family's 1533-position model. The record is from RNAcentral.
GAUGAACGCUGGCGGCGUGCUUAACACAUGCAAGUCGAACGGAAAGGCUCCUGCUUGCAGGGGUACUCGAGUGGCGAACGGGUGAGUAACACGUGGGUGAUCUGCCAUGCACUUCGGGAUAAGCCUGGGAAACUGGGUCUAAUACCGGAUAGGACGAUGGUUUGGAUGCCAUUGUGGAAAGUUUUUCGGUGUGGGGUGAGGUCGCGGCCUAUCAGCUUGUUGGUGGGGUAAUGGCCUACCAAGGCGUCGACGGGUAGCCGGCCUGAGAGGGUGUACGGCCACAUUGGGACUGAGAUACGGCCCAGACUCCUACGGGAGGCAGCAGUGGGGAAUAUUGCACAAUGGGCGCAAGCCUGAUGCAGCGACGCCGCGUGGGGGAUGACGGCCUUCGGGUUGUAAACUCCUUUCGCUAGGGACGAAGCGUUUUGUGACGGUACCUGGAGAAGAAGCACCGGCUAACUACGUG